This is a long non-coding RNA of Sarcophilus harrisii (Tasmanian devil), 5366 nucleotides long. The record is from Ensembl. Lineage: Eukaryota; Metazoa; Chordata; Mammalia; Dasyuromorphia; Dasyuridae.
GUAAGUGGAAUUAUCUUCAUAAAAAGUUUUUGUGUAUCUUUUUUGUUUCAACCACAGGGUGAGAUUCCUGCCUGCUGUGGUAAACAGGCUAGAGUUGGGUGAAGCAGUUUUUAGGGCUCCUUUUCUAGUCUUUUCAUUUUAUCAGGAAGUGAGUUGUAUGGAUCCCUUAAAAGAGUUACUCAGAGACUGAGGAGGCUGUCAAAUCCCACUGCUGUUUCAUUCCAGUGAGAUGUCCCUAUGGCCUGGGCCACUUGUGUCAAGGGUUCUCCAGCUCUCAAUGCAUCAGCACCUGCUGCUUCAUCACUUGUCUAUUGCUACAAGACUUUGAGGAUGAGCUGACAUGUCUAGAGAGAGUAAACGGGAUGGUGAGGGACCUCAAGAUUCUGCCCCAGGAGUGGAUGCCUCAUCAGUUGGAGAAUGGCUGAAUAAGUUAUGGCAUAUGGAUAUUAUGGAAUAUUAUUGUUCUGUAAGAAAUGAUCAGGAGGAUGAUUUUAGAAACACCUGGGGAGACUUAUCUGAAGAUGCUGAGUGAAAUGAGUAGAACCAGGAGAUCACUGUACAUGGCAACAAGAAGAUUAUAUGAUAAUUAAUUCUGAUGAAUGUGACUCCUAACAGUGAGAUGAUUGAUAGUCUUGUGAUGAUGAGAGCCAUAUACCCAGAGAGAGGACUGUGGGGACUGAAUGUGGAUCACAACAUAAUAUUUUCAUUCUUUUUAAUGUUGUUCACUUGCAUUUUGUUUUCUUACUCAUCUUUCCUUUUUGAUCUGAUUUUUCUUGUGCAGCAAGAGAAUUGGUUUUUUUUUUUUUUAAUUUAAUAGCCUUUUAUUUACAGGAUAUAUACAUGGGUAACUUUACAGCAUUAACAAUUGCCAAACCUCUUGUUCCAAUUUUUCACCUCUUACCCCCCCACCCCCUCCCCUAGAUGGCAGGAUGACCAGUAGAUGUUAAAUAUAUUAAAAUAUAAAUUAGAUACACAAUAAGUAUACCUGACCAAAACGUUAUUUUGCUGUACAAAAAGAAUCAGACUCUAAAAUAUUGUACAAUUAGCUUGUGAAGGAAAUCAAAAAUGCAGGUGUGCAUAAAUAUAGGGAUUGGGAAUUCAAUGUAAUGGUUUUUAGUCAUCUUCCAGAGUUCUUUUUCUGGGCAUAGCUAGUUCAGUUCAUUACUGCUCCAUUAGAAAUGAUUUGGUUGAUCUCGUUGCUGAGGAUGGCAGCAAGAGAAUUGUACAAAUAUGUUUACACAUAUUAGAUUUAACAUAUAUUUUAACAUGUAUAACAUAUAUUGGAUUGCUUGCCAUCUAGGGGAGGGGAUGGAGGGAAGAAGGGGAAAAUCUGAAAUACAAGGCUAUGCAAGGGUCAGUGUUGAAAAUUAUCUGUGCAUGUGUUUUGAAAAUAAAAAGCUAUAAGGGAUAAGGGAAAGGAGCAGGAGUUAGUUAGCCUGAAAAGACUAAGGUUAGGUGUCUUCCGCAUCUCAAAGGCUGCCUAAGGACACAGAACAAAAAGAAAACUGGGUCUUGAGUAAGAAGACCCUAGUUUGAAUCCUGACUUUACCUCUUAUUACUUCUGAGCAAGCCACUUAACUCUAGACUGAAAUUUUCUCUUUUAUAAAAUGAAGAAUUGAUCCUAAGGAUGGACAACAGGGGCUGGGGAUUCCCUACCCAGAGGACAAAAUUGGGAACAAUAAAUAGAAGUUGCAAAAAGAUACAAAGAUGUUUGAUGUUUAUGAAAAUCUUCCCAAUAAUUAGAAUCUGUCCUUACUUUCCAGCAAGGAAAAUAUAGGUGGGCAAGGAAAGUGAUCCAAAGAAAAUACUCCUGCUUUGGUACUGGCAUAUUGCAGGAAGUGGGUGUCUACUGUAUGCCAGAUAUUAUCUCAUUUGAUUUGAACAACAAUCCUCUUAUCCCCACUUUAAAGUUGAGAAAAACAGAUUAAAUGGCUGCCCAAGAUGUCUGAGAUUAUAUCAGAACUCAGAUUUUCCUGUCUCUGGACCCAGUGCCAUCUAGAUGACUCAAGAGGCAUCUGUAUAGAUCAGAGAUUGUCUGAUAUAUCAUUAUCCAGAUACUGAUAUCUAUCCACUAGCCAGAUAGAUCACUAAGGCCCAGAAGGCUAGAGCUUUGGUUUUUUCCUAGGCUAUCACAGCAUUUAAACUUCUUUUGUUAGGUUAAUCCCAAGGGCUAACCCAUGUAUGUAAUUAGCAGUAAAUUUGAAUCACCCAGCACAAAGUUAUGAGGCAAAUCAAUGAGGCAAUGUCAGGGGACAAGGAGAAUUCAUACCUGUCAAAGGGACAUACCUGGUCUUCCUUGUUGCACAGUUCUAGGAUCAUAGAAUCAUAGAGCUGAAAGAUAUAUCUAAAAAUUAUGCAGACUGAUUUUUCUUGUACAACAUGACAAAUAUGGAUUUAGAAGAAUUGUACAUUUAUAAACUGUAUCAAUUGCUUGCCUUCUUUGGAGGGAGGGAAGAAAAAGAUUUGCAACACAAAAUCUUACAGAAAUGAAUGUUGAAAACAUUUGAAAAAAUAAAAUACUAUUGAGGAAAAAAAUAUAUCUAGCCCUUGCCUUCAGACUUCAUUUGAAUCAGGAUGUAACCUGUUUCUUUUCCUAAAGAUCCCAACAAAUGGCAGCAGGGAGAUCAGUGCAAAGGAUAGUGCAAUGACUCUGAAAUAGAAUCAUGCUUUGGCCAAUUACGCAUGUGUUAACCUGGACAAGUCCCUUCCUUGCUCCUUCUGCUGGUAAAAUGAGAGAGUUGGAUCCAGUGACCUGUUUGUCUCUCCCAGUUCUAAUCCCUGUUAUAUAUCUCUGAUGGUGAUCAGUGCUCCCAAAUCUCCACCAUGAAAACACCCCAGUUAUACUCCAUGUUAAACCAGUAGAUGGAUAAUAUGUUGGAAAUGUUUGAGAUCAUUUCUGCUUCUUGAGAUUUUAUGAUUCUAUGUGAUUUCACCUUUGCCAUUUGUGAUACCUCAGAAGCUCAAUUCAUAUUAAUUAUUGGAGGAUAGAAUUCAGUUCAUUAGCUAAAUGAUUAUCAAGUUAGCCAACAUACAAUGAAAUGUUCUAGCUUCACAGAGAUCCAAAAUUAAAUUAGGAAUUAUUUUUCUCUCUUGGAGUUUACAUGAUCACUUUGUUCAAUUAAAGUAUUGAUAAGAAGCCAUAGACUAUAUAUUUUCUGAGACUUUUUCCAGAAGCAUUAGAAAAUCUAAAGGAUACAAAUCAAGUUAAUUUUCACAAUUAAAAAGGGCAGAAUUUAUUCUGAAAUUAUGGAUGUUCUGUUAAAAUUAAAAUCAAAUUCAUUUAAUGCCUCCCAGGCACAUUAAGAAAAUAAAUGACUUUUAGGGAAACUUUAAUAUCUUUGAGGCUUAGGCUUGUCAAUAAGUCUAAUGGUAACUUAAAAAGCCUGAUGAUCAGUAUCUAACAUACUUAGAUCUUCAUCUUCUAUCUCAUUACAAAAAAAGAACAGGUUUGUCUUUUUGUUCUUUUUUUAAAGAAUUCAGUGUUGUUCAGGGGCACUUACAAGAAACUUCAAGGAUUUCAUUCAUCCCAAAUUGAUGUGUCAGCUUGAUUUACCUCCAAAAAUAGAGAAAUUCUUGCAUUCUUUUUGCUAGAGUGAUCUCUUUGGCUAAACUUGUCAUUAGUCAAAGGAAGAAUGGGCUCCCUGUGGCUAGUUGCCUACACAACCCUUUGCAAAGAGGGGACCUUUCUUCUGUCGCCUCUCUCCUUCAUCCACCAUGCCCCCAAGCAAGGCAAGGACAAUUCUGCCAGGCACUCAUCAGCAAAGCAGCAUUUAAAAGCAGAACAACUAUAAGCCCUCAUCACAGUGGGCCAGCUUCCAAAUAGGAUCAGAGCUGCAGUGCUGAAAGCACAUACAUAAGAUCACAGAGGCAUCUUCAUUCAGCUCAAAUAUUCCUCAAUGAAUUUGGGAGAUGAUUCCAUCUCAUGUAAAGGGACAAUCAUGUUCACGUUUCCAGAAUCCCAUCAGGACAACAAUUUGAAGAACCCAGAUCCUUGUUUUUCUAUAUUACUAAGUCAUGCUAUCUUUAUAAUGCUAAAUAAGAUGCCAUUCCAAAUUCCUCAUCUAAGGAAAGUCAAGACCUCUGGGAUCAUAUGUUUUUCUCUUUCCUGUAUUUGAGAAUUCUCUUACUCUUCUAGGUCUGCUUCCCCUUAUAGCCUCCCCCAUCUAAAAAUAACAGAAGAUAAAUGGGUGUAAGAUUUAGCUAUAAAAGUCCAUACCUUCCACCCUUUGAUGCAGCUAAGGCAACCUAAUGAUAACUUAGAGCCUCAGUGAGCUAAGUCACUGAAUGGUAGGACAUUCCCAAGGUCAUACAGUCUCUGUAUCAGACAUAGGAUUUGAACCCUGGUCUUCCUGAAUCAAAGGUUAGCCAUCUCCAUUAUGCCAUAUUCCAGUUCAAACAUAUUUCUAUUAGUUGUUUUUGGUUAUGUCCAAAUCUCCAUGACGCCCAUUUGGGUUUUCCUAGCAAAGAUGCCAGAGUGGUUUGCCAUUUCCUUCUGCAGUUCAUCUUACAGAUGAAGAAACUGAGAAAAAACGAGGGUAAAUAACUUGCCCAGGGUCAUAUAGCUAGUGAGUGACUGAGGCCAAAUUUGAACUCGGAAAGAUGACUCAUACUUAUAUUACAAAGUGCUUUAAUGAGAAAUAUUACUCUAUUUGAUCUUACAAUAAUUCAGACUCUGGGAUUUCAGAGGAUCUAUGAACUUCAAUGGGAAAUAAAUUACAUCUUUAUUUUAACCAGGCUCUAACUGAAAUUAUACAAAAUCAUUUCCCACACUAAGCUAGAAAAAUAUCAGUAACAACUCAAUGAAAAAUGAGCUAAUCAAUCACUGCAAUAACCAUUACCUCCAACUUGAUUUCCAAUAAAUGAAGUUACAAAACUUUUGGUGCACCUGAAGAGAAACAUAUUUCAAUCUUGAAGCAUACUUUCAUGGCUUUAAUUCCCUUUACAAUAACUUAUCUCUAUAAAUGAAGAUUCUCAAUCACAAUCUUAAUAAAAUCCAAAGGAAGUACCAAAAUGAAGGCUGAAUGUGAUAUGCGGGUAUCUCUUUCAAAAACCACACCAUGAAUAAAAACUGUUGGUUGACAAGAAAUAGAAUUAAGGUUAUUGCUAAUUUAUUUGAUGAUGUUCUGGCAAAUAUUUACCAAAUUUAUUUUUUUUAAGUUAUAUACCAAAUAAAAUUUUCUUUGUGAAAAAUUAAUGUUUAUGUUAUUUCUUAUUGCAAAUAUGUAAGAUACACCCCAGAAUUUCUUUCCUUUUAUACUAAAUAGAGGAUCUGGGAAGGUUUAUUGAAAGCCAUGGGAUUGAAAAAGAUUGGGACUUCCUUACUUUAAGUCUAGUAUUUUUUUCUUUUAUUUAACUGUAAGUUCUGC